This 775-nucleotide ribosomal RNA is filed under the name uncultured Neocallimastigales. Its description in RNAcentral is "partial large subunit ribosomal RNA". It matches the Rfam family "Eukaryotic large subunit ribosomal RNA", at positions 18 to 625 of the family's 3401-position model. Lineage: Eukaryota; Fungi; Neocallimastigomycota; Neocallimastigomycetes; Neocallimastigales. The record is from RNAcentral.
UCAGACGAUGCGUCAUGCAUAUCAAUAAGCGGAGGAAAAGAAACUAACUAGGAUUCCCUCAGUAACGGCGAGUGAAGCGGGAAGAGCUCAAAUUUGAAAUCUUCAAGGUUCUACCUUGACGAAUUGUAGUUUAAAGAAGUGUUUUCUGUUAGAGUCUCGGUAAAGGUUCUUUGGAAUAGGACAUCAUAGAGGGUGAGAAUCCCGUAUUUGACCAUUAUUUCCAGCUUUGUGAUACACUUUCAAAGAGUCGGAUUGUUUGGGAAUGCAGUCCAAAAUGGGUGGUAAAUUUCAUCUAAAGCUAAAUAUUGGCGAGAGACCGAUAGCGAACAAGUACCGUGAGGGAAAGAUGAAAAGAACUUUGAAAAGAGAGUUAAACAGUACGUGAAAUUGUCAAAAGGGAAGCGUUUGACACCAGUGUUGUUUUCUCGAAAAUCAAUUAAAAAAGGCAGGAUUUUGUGUUGUAUUGACUUUAUCAGCUUUCUGCACUCUUUUCUUGUCUUUUUUUAAUGCACUUUUCGUUUAACAAGUCAACAUCAAUUUCUUUUGUUGUAAAAGGGUCAUUGGAAGGUGGCUUUCUUUUCGGAGAAAGUGUUUAUAGCCUUUGGCCUCUGCAAUCGGAGAGAUUGAGGUCUGCAGCGUAGAUCCUUCGGGGUUAGAUACAUUUGUGCUAAGUUAUAGCCUUUCAUAGACAACUUGUUGACUAUGAUCAGUCAUGUAGCUUACUCGCUUAUGCUAUUUUACCUACGCUUAGGAUGUUGAUCUACAGAGCGAGAGU